AGUGAACGCUGGCGGUAGGCCUAACACAUGCAAGUCGAACGGCAGCACAGUAAGAGCUUGCUCUUACGGGUGGCGAGUGGCGGACGGGUGAGGAAUACAUCGGAAUCUACUUUUUCGUGGGGGAUAACGUAGGGAAACUUACGCUAAUACCGCAUACGACCUACGGGUGAAAGCAGGUGAUCUUCGGACCUUGCGCGAUUGAAUGAGCCGAUGUCGGAUUAGCUAGUUGGCGGGGUAAAGGCCCACCAAGGCGACGAUCCGUAGCUGGUCUGAGAGGAUGAUGAGCCACACUGGAACUGAGACACGGUCCAGACUCCUACGGGAGGCAGCAGUGGGGAAUAUUGGACAAUGGGCGCAAGCCUGAUCCAGCCAUACCGCGUGGGUGAAGAAGGCCUUCGGGUUGUAAAGCCCUUUUGUUGGGAAAGAAAAGCAGCAGGUUAAUACCCCGCUGUUCUGACGGUACCCAAAGAAUAAGCACCGGCUAACUUCGUG
This 492-nucleotide ribosomal RNA is filed under the name uncultured bacterium. Its description in RNAcentral is "partial 16S ribosomal RNA". It matches the Rfam family "Bacterial small subunit ribosomal RNA", at positions 29 to 507 of the family's 1533-position model. The record is from RNAcentral.